GGGGAGAUGGCUCAGUGGUUAAGAGCACUGAGUGCUCUUCUAGAGGUCCUGAGUUCAAUUCCCAGUUACUAGCCG
Molecule: transfer RNA, 75 nt
Filed under: Mus musculus (house mouse)
Lineage: Eukaryota; Metazoa; Chordata; Mammalia; Rodentia; Muridae
Description: tRNA-Ser
Source: RNAcentral